This 468-nucleotide ribosomal RNA is filed under the name uncultured bacterium. RNAcentral describes it as "partial 16S ribosomal RNA". It matches the Rfam family "Bacterial small subunit ribosomal RNA", at positions 28 to 507 of the family's 1533-position model. The record is from RNAcentral.
GAUGAACGCUGGCGGCGUGCUUAACACAUGCAAGUCGAACGGUGAAGGCGGAGCUUGCUCUGCUGGAUCAGUGGCGAACGGGUGAGUAACACGUGAGCAAUCUGCCCCUGACUCUGGGAUAAGCGCUGGAAACGGCGUCUAAUACUGGAUACGAGCUGCGAAGGCAUCUUCAGCAGCUGGAAAGAAUUUCGGUCAGGGAUGAGCUCGCGGCCUAUCAGCUUGUUGGUGAGGUAAUGACUCACCAAGGCGUCGACGGGUAGCCGGCCUGAGAGGGUGACCGGCCACACUGGGACUGAGACACGGCCCAGACUCCUACGGGAGGCAGCAGUGGGGAAUAUUGCACAAUGGGCGAAAGCCUGAUGCAGCAACGCCGCGUGAGGGACGACGGCCCUCGGGUUGUAAACCUCUUUUAGCAGGGAAGAAGCGAAAGUGACGGUACCUGCAGAAAAAGCGCCGGCUAACUACGUG